Long non-coding RNA from Bos taurus (domestic cattle), 1968 nucleotides. The record is from Ensembl. Lineage: Eukaryota; Metazoa; Chordata; Mammalia; Artiodactyla; Bovidae.
CUACAGAUUUUAUUGUGGCUCAGUCACAUAGCCAUGGCUGACUGGUCAUGCGGUCAACCUUAGUCUCCAGAGGUCAAAUUCAUACCACAUGACCCAAGGACCCUUCCUAUAAAUCACACUGCUAGCAUAGGCUAUCUGGCUUGGCCAAAGGUCCCCAGGUUAAACAAAUCAAGGCAAGAUAUUCCUAGGUCUUAGAGGUUACCUCCCAGGAGCCAAGGGCAAAGGCCAAACCUCUUUGGGUGAAAGAUUAAUCGUUUAUUGUCCAUCCAGACCUUCUUGUUCCACUUGACAGAAUUUCUCUGCAACAUCCCUCCAAACUUACACCUCUCCUAAUCUAUUCCAUCCUCAAGAACAACACCAACCAUCAUCCAAGUGAUCAAGCCACUUGCACCCUAAUUCAAGCCACCAUCAGUUCUCACAUUGGGGGUUUCUGGCAAGUGCAGCUGGGUAGAUAGAUGAAGGUAGCUCAGACCGGGCGUUUGGGGGGCCCUGAGUGUGUUGCAGAGUGCUAGUACCGGCCCAGGAUGCUGCACCCUGGCCCUCCUUCCCCCAGAAGGACCCCGAACCUCCAGCCAGGGCUUACUCGGUUCGCCAAGGAAGCCUAGCUUCAGAGCCUGGACAAGAAGAUCUGCUCCCUGCCCAGUCCUGAGUCCCAGACGCACAACUCAGAAAGCAAAACUCAAGUUUCAGAAACUGCUGGGCCCCCAGAACAGAAGGGGAAGAAAGCACAUUAGAAAUCCCAGGUGCGGGUCCCUGUGGAGAAGCCUCAGGGCAGGAAGUCAGCGGCAGUGAAAGAGGAGGCGGAGGCCUUCAGCUCCACUGCGGGCCCUGCGGAUGGCCUGGCCUCAGCGCCCGACUCUUCAUUUGCGGUGGACGUCCUGUGACAGCGCCUGCAUGAGAAGAUAGGGGAGGCACGCAGCCAGGGCAACGCCAGGAAGCUGCUUCCCACCUCUUUGGGGAAAAGAUGCUGGAGGAAGCUGAGGCAGCAGGAGUGGGACCGGAAGUAGAGGGAGCAGAAGGGAAUGGCCUUUGGGACUGCUGUGUCAGCCCCAAACUCUUUUGAAAAGGACGAAAACCAGCGACUGAAGCCAGACCGAAGGUGGAAUUGAUGGUCUCGGCGACUGGAAGAAGGCGGGGCCAUCCUCAGUUAAGAAACAGAUGGUAACCAAAAGGAAGCUGGUGUUGGCUGUAUUGGAAGAUGAAGUCAAUUUUAAGAUAAAAGGCACUGCUAAAGAGAAGGAAUAUCCCCACGUGAUGAAAAGGGGUUCAAAUCACCUGGAAGGUGGAAAAGCUGUGCACCAGGAACAUAUCUCCAAGUCUGUCUAGCAGAAAGUGACACAAGGAGAAAUCAAGUCACAGAUCAAAGUGGGAGAUUUUUAACAUCUCUGUUAGGAAUUGAUACACAAGCAGAUAAAAAUCGGAUGGCUAUGGAAAGUUCGGAUGAAAACAGUUAUAAGCUUGAUCUGAUGGACACACAGAACGGUAUCUGAAAACAGUAUAUACUUCAAGCACACAUGGAACAGUGGGGGAAACUCUCAAAGUUCGUAAAACAAGUCAUAUUUUAAAGUGUCAAUGUCAUACAAAGUAUAUUACCUGGUCAUAGCACAAUUUAAAAACGUAAGUGGAAAUUGCUAAAGUUUCCUGUUCGGAAGUUUAGAAACAUGCUUCUAAAUUACCUGUGGGUCAAAGAAUAAUACCUAAUGGAUGUCAGAGUAUUUGGGAUCAAAAGAUAAUGAAGAUGCUAUGCAUUAAAAUGUGUCAGACACAGCAAAGACACUGCAAAAAAGCACUAGAUAGCCUUUAAAAAAAAAAAACAAAAACAAACAAUUUCUCACCUGAACUAUAGCCACCUCAUAUCACCCUGUCUCCAGCUUUGCCACCUCACAGGCACAAACAACAGAAAAUGACCAGCUAGAACCAGGCUGGAAAUGCAGAGGAUGACUUCGGAUCAUCGCAAUCUAUUAAGAC